Molecule: ribosomal RNA, 305 nt
Filed under: uncultured bacterium
Lineage: Bacteria
Description: bacterial SSU rRNA
Rfam family: Bacterial small subunit ribosomal RNA
Source: RNAcentral
CCUACGGGAGGCAGCAGUGGGGAAUAUUGCACAAUGGGGGGAACCCUGAUGCAGCGACGCCGCGUGGGUGAAGGAGUAUUUCGGUAUGUAAGGCCCUAUCAGCAGGGAAGAAAAUGACGGUACCUGACUAAGAAGCCCCGGCUAACUACGUGCCAGCAGCCGCGGUAAUACGUAGGGGGUAAGCGUUAUCCGGAUUUACUGGGUGUAAAGGGAGCGUAGACGGCGGCGCAAGCCAGAUGUGAAAGCCCGGGGCUCAACCCCGGGACUGCACUUGGAACUGUGCCGCUAGAGGGUCGGAGAGGCAG